AGCGAACGCUGGCGGCAGGCUUAACACAUGCAAGUCGAGCGGGCAUAGCAAUAUGUCAGCGGCAGACGGGUGAGUAACGCGUGGGAACGUACCUUUUGGUUCGGAACAACACAGGGAAACUUGUGCUAAUACCGGAUAAGCCCUUACGGGGAAAGAUUUAUCGCCGAAAGAUCGGCCCGCGUCUGAUUAGCUAGUUGGUGAGGUAAUGGCUCACCAAGGCGACGAUCAGUAGCUGGUCUGAGAGGAUGAUCAGCCACAUUGGGACUGAGACACGGCCCAAACUCCUACGGGAGGCAGCAGUGGGGAAUAUUGGACAAUGGGCGCAAGCCUGAUCCAGCCAUGCCGCGUGAGUGAUGAAGGCCCUAGGGUUGUAAAGCUCUUUUGUGCGGGAGGAUAAUGACGGUACCGCAAGAAUAAGCCCCGGCUAACUUCGUGCCAGCAGCCGCGGUAAUACGAAGGGGGCUAGCGUUGCUCGGAAUCACUGGGCGUAAAGGGUGCGUAGGCGGGUCUUUAAGUCAGGGGUGAAAUCCUGGAGCUCAACUCCAGAACUGCCUUUGAUACUGAAGAUCUUGAGUUCGGGAGAGGUGAGUGGAACUGCGAGUGUAGAGGUGAAAUUCGUAGAUAUUCGCAAGAACACCAGUGGCGAAGGCGGCUCACUGGCCCGAUACUGACGCUGAGGCACGAAAGCGUGGGGAGCAAACAGG
RNAcentral lists this ribosomal RNA (704 nucleotides) under uncultured Bradyrhizobiaceae bacterium. RNAcentral describes it as "bacterial SSU rRNA". It matches the Rfam family "Bacterial small subunit ribosomal RNA", at positions 28 to 776 of the family's 1533-position model. The record is from RNAcentral. Lineage: Bacteria; Pseudomonadati; Pseudomonadota; Alphaproteobacteria; Hyphomicrobiales; Nitrobacteraceae.